Molecule: ribosomal RNA, 301 nt
Filed under: uncultured bacterium
Lineage: Bacteria
Description: partial 16S ribosomal RNA
Rfam family: Bacterial small subunit ribosomal RNA
Source: RNAcentral
CAGUAGCCGCGGUAAUACGUAGGGUGCAAGCGUUAAUCGGAAUUACUGGGCGUAAAGCGUGCGCAGGCGGUUUGUUAAGGCAGAUGUGAAAUCCCCGGGCUCAACCUGGGAACUGCAUUUGUGACUGGCAAGCUAGAGUGUGGCAGAGGGGGGUGGAAUUCCGCGUGUAGCAGUGAAAUGCGUAGAUAUGCGGAGGAACACCGAUGGCGGAGGCAGCCCCCUGGGCCAACACUGACGCUCAUGCACGAAAGCGUGGGGAGCAAACAGGAUUAGAUACCCCCGUAGUCCCUGUCUCUUAUAC